RNAcentral lists this ribosomal RNA (468 nucleotides) under uncultured bacterium. Its description in RNAcentral is "bacterial SSU rRNA". It matches the Rfam family "Bacterial small subunit ribosomal RNA", at positions 1023 to 1504 of the family's 1533-position model. The record is from RNAcentral.
GGUCACUUUACACAGGUGCUGCAUGCCCGUCGUCAGCUCGUGUCGUGAGAUGUUGGGUUAAGUCCCGCAACGAGCGCAACCCCUGUGAUUAGUUGCCAGCACGUAAUGGUGGGGACUCUAAUCAGACUGCCCAGAUCAACUGGGAGGAAGGUGGGGAUGACGUCAGGUCAGUAUGGCCCUUACGCCCUGGGCUGCACACGUACUACAAUGCCCAGUACAAUUAGAACCGAGACCGCGAGGUGGAGGAAAUCUUUAAAACUGGGCCCAGUUCGGAUUGGAGGCUGCAACUCGCCUCCAUGAAGCCGGAAUCGCUAGUAAUGGUGCAUCAGCUACGGCACCGUGAAUACGUUCCCGGGUCUUGUACACACCGCCCGUCGCAUCAUGGAAGCCGGUAGCACCCGAAGUAUCGUUAACUCGGUCUUAAGGUGAAGCUGGUAACUGGGAUGAAGUCGUAACAAGGUAGCCGUA